CUAGGCAGAAGCUCUCACGGAGCUAUGCCCAGCCUGACCCUGUGCCACCUUCCAUUUUCUAGAAACACUGAAGCAUACCUGAUUGAACUUGAUCGAGAUGCUAGUGAAGACGGAAUGUUGGUUACUUCCUGGUAUCCAGCUUGUAACCAGCAGCCAAGCCUUCCUCUUGGACGCCUCUGCCGAUGCAGCCUUCGUCCAGAGCCCAGUGCAGGCACUGCCUUUCUUGGUGAGAUGAGGGCCUUGCUACUCUUUGCCCAAUCAAACACACACAAACCGUAGGUGCUCACAUUGUGAGUAACUUCCUAGUGUUCUGUACAUCAAAAGAAUAAUGAAGGUUAUUUAAACCUGUCUUUUAAAAGCAACAGCUCUCACUGACAUUUGAGACCGGCUUGCUUUCUUUUUCAUCCUAGCUCAGAACUCACUAUGUCUCUAAGCUGGCUCAGAACUUGGAGCAGUCUUCCUGCCUUAGCCUUCUGAAUCCUGAAGUAAGCCACGUGUAGUGGCCAUCUUUUAAUUACUGUAGUUUUUGCACAGAACAGCUUUGCGUUGAGGCUUGUAGAGAACUGAGUAGUGGUGUUUAUGCUGAUGGUAAGAGCUCUAGGCCAUUGGUGGUAGAACCAAGUGUGUGCAGGAGUGAUGAGCUGCUUAGUACCUGUGGACAGAAACUGACAAGGAACAGCACGAGGAGAAGGGAGCCGUUGUUGCCAGCAGCUGCCCUCAAGUCUACUCUGUCUUACACUGAAGGAUGACGAGGUGCUGCUGCCUAUACAGGACAACCUCAUCUCUUUUUGGUGUUGACCUGCUUAAGAAAUAACUGUUAAUCAACAAAGCUUGACCAAUUUUGAUAUCUUUUAUAGACACUUCUAAAAGUACCCCCAAACUGUCUGAGAUGGUCCCAUUUUUUUCUUUGCUAAAAUGUACUGAUUAAACCCCACAAUAA
Molecule: long non-coding RNA, 940 nt
Organism: Mastomys coucha (southern multimammate mouse)
Lineage: Eukaryota; Metazoa; Chordata; Mammalia; Rodentia; Muridae
Exons: 2
Source: RefSeq, a predicted model, not a curated record